This 29-nucleotide non-coding RNA is filed under the name Homo sapiens (human). The record is from RNAcentral. Lineage: Eukaryota; Metazoa; Chordata; Mammalia; Primates; Hominidae.
UCUCAACAAUACAGUGGGGAUGUUCUGAG